AACACGCUCCUUAGAUCCACCUCUGGGGUAGUCUUCCAACUUCUGAGUGUUGCAGCUCUAGGUUGGAGGCUCCCAGCAGCUUUUCUGGCUGUACAGUUGGAGGUGCUUGAGUCAUUGGCGUGUGAGAGCAGUCUACCUGCUCCUUCAGCCCAUUUGCUGCCCUGGCUCCCACCAUGGGAACUUCACCAGGGCAGACAAGCUGGAGGGCGGACAAA
Silurus meridionalis is the source of this 215-nucleotide small nucleolar RNA. RefSeq annotates it as small nucleolar RNA SNORA53. The record is from RefSeq and is a predicted model, not a curated record. The transcript has a single exon. Lineage: Eukaryota; Metazoa; Chordata; Actinopteri; Siluriformes; Siluridae.